Molecule: ribosomal RNA, 468 nt
Filed under: uncultured bacterium
Lineage: Bacteria
Description: partial 16S ribosomal RNA
Rfam family: Bacterial small subunit ribosomal RNA
Source: RNAcentral
GACGAACGCUGGCGGCGUGCUUAACACAUGCAAGUCGAACGGAAAGGCCCUGCUUUUGUGGGGUGCUCGAGUGGCGAACGGGUGAGUAACACGUGAGUAACCUGCCCUUGACUUUGGGAUAACUUCAGGAAACUGGGGCUAAUACCGGAUAGGAGCUCCUGCUGCAUGGGGGGGGUUGGAAAGUUUCGGCGGUUGGGGAUGGACUCGCGGCUUAUCAGCUUGUUGGUGGGGUAGUGUCUUACCAAGGCUUUGACGGGUAGCCGGCCUGAGAGGGUGACCGGCCACAUGGGGACUGAGAUACGGCCCAGACUCCUACGGGAGGCAGCAGUGGGGAAUAUUGCACAAGGAGCGGAAGCCUGAUGCAGCAACGCCGCGAGCGGGAUAACGGCCUUCGGGUUGUAGACCGCUUUCGCCUGUGACGAAGCGAGAGUGACGGUAAUGGGUAAAGAAGCACCGGCUAACUACGUG